This 468-nucleotide ribosomal RNA is filed under the name uncultured bacterium. Its description in RNAcentral is "partial 16S ribosomal RNA". It matches the Rfam family "Bacterial small subunit ribosomal RNA", at positions 28 to 507 of the family's 1533-position model. The record is from RNAcentral.
GACGAACGCUGGCGGCGUGCUUAACACAUGCAAGUCGAACGGAAAGGCCCUGCGGUUGUGGGGUGCUCGAGUGGCGAACGGGUGAGUAACACGUGAGUAACCUGCCCUGGAUUUUGGGAUAACUUCAGGAAACUGGGGCUAAUACCGGAUAGGAGCUCCUGCUGCAUGGUGGGGGUUGGAAAGUUUGGGCGGUUGGGGAUGGACUGCCGGCUUAUCAGCUUGUUGGUGGGGUAGUGGCUUACCAAGGCUUUGACGGGUAGCCGGCCUGAGAGGGUGACCGGCCACAUUGGGACUGAGAUACGGCCCAGACUCCUACGGGCGGCAGCAGUGGGGAAUAUUGCACAAUGGGCGGAAGCCUGAUGCAGCAACGCCGCGUGCGGGAUGACGGCCUUCGGGUUGUAAACCGCUUUCGCCUGUGACGAAGCGUGAGUGACGGUAAUGGGUAAAGAAGCACCGGCUAACUACGUG